RNAcentral lists this ribosomal RNA (497 nucleotides) under uncultured bacterium. Its description in RNAcentral is "partial 16S ribosomal RNA". It matches the Rfam family "Bacterial small subunit ribosomal RNA", at positions 28 to 507 of the family's 1533-position model. The record is from RNAcentral.
GACGAACGCUGGCGGCGUGCCUAAUACAUGCAAGUAGAACGCUGAAGAGAGGAGCUUGCUCUUCUUGGCUGAGUUGCGAACGGGUGAGUAACGCGUAGGUAACCUGCCUUGUAGCGGGGGAUAACUAUUGGAAACGAUAGCUAAUACCGCAUAACAAUGGAUGACACAUGUCAUUUAUUUGAAAGGGGCAAUUGCUCCACUACAAGAUGGACCUGCGUUGUAUUAGCUAGUAGGUGAGGUAAUGGCUCACCUAGGCGACGAUACAUAGCCGACCUGAGAGGGUGAUCGGCCACACUGGGACUGAGACACGGCCCAGACUCCUACGGGAGGCAGCAGUAGGGAAUCUUCGGCAAUGGGGGCAACCCUGACCGAGCAACGCCGCGUGAGUGAAGAAGGGUUUCGGAUCGUAAAGCUCUGUUGUAAGUCAAGAACGGGUGUGAGAGUGGAAAGUUCACACAGUGACGGUAGCUUACCAGAAAGGGACGGCUAACUACGUG